AGGGCAAGUCUGGUGCCAGCAGCCGCGGUAAUUCCAGCUCCAAUAGCGUAUAUUAAAGUUGUUGCAGUUAAAAAGCUCGUAGUUGAAUUUCGGGGUUCUACCGUUGGUCGGGCUUUGUCUGUACUGGCGUGUAGAAUUUCUACCUUCUGGGGAACCAUUAUGUUAUUAAUUUAGCAUAGUGGGAAACCAGGACCUUUACCUUGAAAAAAUUAGAGUGUUCAAAGCAGGCUUAUGUCUGAAUACAUUAGCAUGGAAUAAUAGAAUAGGACGGUGGUCCUGUUUUGUUGGUUUCUGAAUCACCGUAAUGAUUAAUAGGGAUAGUUGGGGGCAUUAGUAUUCAAUUGUCAGAGGUGAAAUUCUUGGAUUUAUUGAAGACUAACUUCUGCGAAAGCAUUUGCCAAGGAUGUUUUCAUUAAUCAAGAACGAAAGUUAGGGGAUCGAAGACGAUCAGAUACCGUCGUAGUCUUAACCAUAAACUAUGUCGACUAGGGAUCGGACGAUGUUAAUUUUUCUUGACUCGUUCGGCGCCUUACGGGAA
This 538-nucleotide ribosomal RNA is filed under the name uncultured Glomeromycotina. Its description in RNAcentral is "SSU rRNA". It matches the Rfam family "Eukaryotic small subunit ribosomal RNA", at positions 552 to 1096 of the family's 1831-position model. Lineage: Eukaryota; Fungi; Glomeromycota. The record is from RNAcentral.